This 1272-nucleotide ribosomal RNA is filed under the name uncultured fungus. RNAcentral describes it as "eukaryotic LSU rRNA". The stretch from base 609 to 1272 matches the Rfam family "Eukaryotic large subunit ribosomal RNA", at positions 1 to 667 of the family's 3401-position model. The record is from RNAcentral. Lineage: Eukaryota; Fungi.
CUUGGUCAUUUAGAGGAAGUAAAAGUCGUAACAAGGUUUCCGUAGGUGAACCUGCGGAAGGAUCAUUAUUGAAAUUAUAGGCGAGGGUUGUAGCUGGCCUCUCGGGGCAUGUGCACGCCUGAGCCCUUAAUCCACACACACCUGUGAACCUAUUGUAAGGGCCCGUAAAAAAGGCCUUUACGUCUUAUCAUCAACCCAUCGUAUGUCUCAUAGAAUGUAAAUAUAUGUCCUCGCCUUAAACAGCGUUGAUAAACUUAUACAACUUUCAACAACGGAUCUCUUGGCUCUCGCAUCAAUGAAGAACGCAGCGAAAUGCGAUAAGUAAUGUGAAUUGCAGAUUUUCAGUGAAUCAUCGAAUCUUUGAACGCACCUUGCGCUCCUUGGUAUUCCGAGGAGCAUGCCUGUUUGAGUGUCAUUUAAUUCUCAAACUCCGAUCGAUUUGUUUCGACUUCGGGGCUUGGAUUUGGAGCGUGCUGGCGUCGGUCGGCUCCUCUUAAACGCAUCAGCGGAAUCUAACGUUCCGGACGUCAGUGUGAUAAUCACGUUGCGCUGUCUUUCGGUCCGAAAAGCCCGCUCACAAUGGUCUUCGGACAACUUCAUAUCAAAUUUGACCUCAAAUCAGGUAGGACUACCCGCUGAACUUAAGCAUAUCAAUAAGCGGAGGAAAAGAAACUAACAAGGAUUCCCCUAGUAACUGCGAGUGAAGCGGGAAAAGCUCAAAUUUAAAAUCUGGCGGUCUUGCGGCCGUCCGAGUUGUAAUCUGGAGAAGCGUUUAUCCGCGUCGGACCGUGUACAAGUCUCCUGGAAGGGAGCGUCGUAGAGGGUGAGAAUCCCGUCUUUGACACGGACAACCGAUGCUUUUGUGAUGCGCUCUCGAAGAGUCGAGUUGUUUGGGAAUGCAACUCAAAAUGGGUGGUAAAUUCCAUCUAAAGCUAAAUAUUGGCGAGAGACCGAUAGCGAACAAGUACCGUGAGGGAAAGAUGAAAAGCACUUUGGAAAGAGAGUUAAACAGUACGUGAAAUUGUUGAAAGGGAAACGUUUGAAGUCAGUCGCGUCGGCCGAGACUCAACCUGGGCUUCUGCCCGGUGCACUUCUCGGUUGACGGGUCAGCAUCAAUUUUGACCGCCGGAUAAAGGUUGGGGGAAUGUGGCAUCCUUCGGGAUGUGUUAUAGACCUCGAUUCGGAUACGGCGAUUGGGAUUGAGGAACUCGGCGCUCUGCGUCCAGGAUGCUGGCAUAAUGGCUUUAAGCGACCCGUCUUGAAACACGGACC